GGCUGUUCUGAGUGCAGUGGUGUUCACAACUAAUUGAUCACAACCGGUUCCAAAUUCCUUUAUUCCUUCUCCACUCCCACUGCUUCACUUGACUAAGCUUAAA
Unclassified non-coding RNA from Propithecus coquereli (Coquerel's sifaka), 103 nucleotides. It matches the Rfam family "Y RNA". Rfam says of the family: Y RNAs are components of the Ro ribonucleoprotein particle (Ro RNP), in association with Ro60 and La proteins. The Y RNAs and Ro60 and La proteins are well conserved, but the function of the Ro RNP is not known. The record is from Ensembl. NCBI's taxonomy places the organism in Eukaryota, Metazoa, Chordata, Mammalia, Primates, Indriidae.